Molecule: ribosomal RNA, 236 nt
Filed under: uncultured bacterium
Lineage: Bacteria
Description: partial 16S ribosomal RNA
Rfam family: Bacterial small subunit ribosomal RNA
Source: RNAcentral
CGGGACGGGUGAGUAACGCGUGGGUAACCUGCCUCGUACUGGGGGACAACAGUUAGAAAUGACUGCUAAUACCGCAUAAGCGCACAGUAUCGCAUGAUACAGUGUGAAAAACUCCGGUGGUACAAGAUGGACCCGCGUCUGAUUAGCUAGUUGGUAAGGUAACGGCUUACCAAGGCGACGAUCAGUAGCCGACCUGAGAGGGUGACCGGCCACAUUGGGACUGAGACACGGCCCAA